AUUGAACGCUGGCGGCAGGCCUAACACAUGCAAGUCGAGCGGAUGACGGGAGCUUGCUCCUUGAUUCAGCGGCGGACGGGUGAGUAAUGCCUAGGAAUCUGCCUGGUAGUGGGGGACAACGUUUCGAAAGGAACGCUAAUACCGCAUACGUCCUACGGGAGAAAGCAGGGGACCUUCGGGCCUUGCGCUAUCAGAUGAGCCUAGGUCGGAUUAGCUAGUAGGUGAGGUAAUGGCUCACCAAGGCGACGAUCCGUAACUGGUCUGAGAGGAUGAUCAGUCACAAUGGAACUGAGACACGGUACAGACUCCUACGGGAGGCAGCAGUGGGGAAUAUUGGACAAUGGGCGAAAGCCUGAUCCAGCCAUGCCGCGGGUGUGAAGAAGGUCUUCGGAUUGUAAAGAACUUUAAGUUGGGAGGAAGGGUUGUACGUUAAUACCGUGCAAUUUUGACGUUACCGACAGAAUAAGCACCGGCUAAGUCUGUGCCAGCCGCCGCCGUAA
Molecule: ribosomal RNA, 500 nt
Filed under: uncultured bacterium
Lineage: Bacteria
Description: partial 16S ribosomal RNA
Rfam family: Bacterial small subunit ribosomal RNA
Source: RNAcentral